Long non-coding RNA from Mobula hypostoma (lesser devil ray), 530 nucleotides. RefSeq lists it as uncharacterized. The transcript has 4 exons. The record is from RefSeq and is a predicted model, not a curated record. NCBI's taxonomy places the organism in Eukaryota, Metazoa, Chordata, Chondrichthyes, Myliobatiformes, Myliobatidae.
CAGGACGCAAUUGUCCUGUCACCAUCGAGGAUGGACGUCGCAGAACAUUCUGGAGUCUCCAUGUUAGCUCGUUGGUAAAAUUAAUAAUAAAAAUAUUGGAAAAGGAAGUUAUCAGGAAAGUGGAUGAAGGCAAGGCAGUAGAUGUUGACCACGUGGACUUCAGCAAGGCAUUUGACAAGGUCCCGCAAGGAAGGUUGAUCAAGAGGUUCUGUCACUGGGCAAUCAAGAUAAGAGGGGAGAGUGAAGAAUUUUUCGAAGUGCAGGAUCGAGGGAUCGAGAGGAGCCAGCAUCGUUUGGCAGUUUAAUAAAGGAUCGACCUUAUUGAGUCUUCGUUGGAGGAGUAGCUACCUGCAUCGAGGAUAACUCUUGCCAAACAGAGCAAGGAGUUCAUGCAAAAAGAUACCAUAUUACUUGGACUGGAAAUUUUUGCUAAAUGAAUUACUCAAUUCCAACAUUAGAAGGGAGAGUGAAGAAUUUAUCGAAGUGCAGGAUCGAGGGAUCAAGAGGAGUUGGCAUCGUUUGACAGUUUA